RNAcentral lists this ribosomal RNA (758 nucleotides) under uncultured cyanobacterium. RNAcentral describes it as "bacterial SSU rRNA". It matches the Rfam family "Bacterial small subunit ribosomal RNA", at positions 28 to 829 of the family's 1533-position model. The record is from RNAcentral. Lineage: Bacteria; Bacillati; Cyanobacteriota.
GAUGAACGCUGGCGGUAUGCUUAACACAUGCAAGUCGAACGGAUGUUUUCGGACAUUAGUGGCGGACGGGUGAGUAACGCGUGAGAAUCUGCCUAUAGGUUGGGGACAACAGAUGGAAACGUCUGCUAAUACCCGAUGUGCCGAGAGGUAAAAGCUUUAGUGCCUGUAGAUGAGCUCGCGUCCGAUUAGCUAGUUGGUUAGGUAAAGGCUGACCAAGGCGACGAUCGGUAGCUGGUCUGAGAGGAUGAUCAGCCACACUGGGACUGAGACACGGCCCAGACUCCUACGGGAGGCAGCAGUGGGGAAUUUUCCGCAAUGGGCGAAAGCCUGACGGAGCAAUACCGCGUGCGGGACGAAGGCUUUUGGGUCGUAAACCGCUUUUGUUAGGGAAGAAGAACUGACGGUACCUAACGAAUCAGCAUCGGCUAACUCCGUGCCAGCAGCCGCGGUAAUACGGGGGAUGCAAGCGUUAUCCGGAAUUAUUGGGCGUAAAGCGUCCGCAGGUGGUUUAUCAAGUCUGCUGUCAAAGCGUGGGGCUUAACCCCAUAAAGGCAGUGGAAACUGAGAGACUAGAGUACGGUAGGGGUAGCGGGAAUUCCCAGUGUAGCGGUGAAAUGCGUAGAUAUUGGGAAGAACACCAGCGGCGAAGGCGCGCUACUGGGCCGAAACUGACACUCAUGGACGAAAGCUAGGGGAGCGAAAGGGAUUAGAUACCCCUGUAGUCCUAGCUGUAAACGAUGACAACUAGGUGUUGCGCG